CAAAUAAUAGGUAUAAUGGGUUACCUCAGGAGCAGGAACGCCAUAAAAAAUAUACGCAUGGGUCACCUCAGGAGCAGGGACGCCACAAACAAUUGACAAAAUGGGUUACCUCAGGAGCAGGAACGCCAUCAAAUGAUAAGACAGUAACUUAGAGACUGCUAUAAACAAAAUCAAAUUCUGUUUAAGAUUAUUCAAGUUUUUCAUACUUCAUAUAUUUUUGCAACAUUUUGUUUAAACACUUUGCAUAUAUUUCUAAUUACAUUUCAUCAA
RNAcentral lists this long non-coding RNA (270 nucleotides) under Mytilus galloprovincialis (Mediterranean mussel). The record is from RNAcentral. Lineage: Eukaryota; Metazoa; Mollusca; Bivalvia; Mytilida; Mytilidae.